UACGUAGGGUCCGAGCGUUGUCCGGAAUUACUGGGCGUAAAGAGCUCGUAGGUGGUUUGUCGCGUUGUUCGUGAAAACUCACAACUCAAUUGUGGGCGUGCGGGCGAUACGGGCAGACUUGAGUACUGCAGGGGAGACUGGAAUUCCUGGUGUAGCGGUGGAAUGCGCAGAUAUCAGGAGGAACACCGGUGGCGAAGGCGGGGUCUCUGGGCAGUAACUGACGCUGAGGAGCGAAAGCGUGGGGAGCGAACAGG
RNAcentral lists this ribosomal RNA (254 nucleotides) under uncultured bacterium. RNAcentral's name for it is "partial 16S ribosomal RNA". It matches the Rfam family "Bacterial small subunit ribosomal RNA", at positions 524 to 776 of the family's 1533-position model. The record is from RNAcentral.